GAUGAACGCUGGCGGCGUGCUUAACACAUGCAAGUCGAACGAAGCACUUGAGAACGAUUCUUCGGAUGAGGACUUUUGUGACUGAGUGGCGGACGGGUGAGUAACGCGUGGGUAACCUGCCCUAUACAGGGGGAUAACAGUUAGAAAUGACUGCUAAUACCGCAUAAGCGCACUAGAACCGCAUGGUUCGGUGUGAAAAACUGAGGUGGUAUAGGAUGGACCCGCGUCUGAUUAGCUUGUUGGUGAGGUAACGGCUCACCAAGGCGACGAUCAGUAGCCGGCCUGAGAGGGCGACCGGCCACAUUGGGACUGAGACACGGCCCAA
This 325-nucleotide ribosomal RNA is filed under the name uncultured bacterium. RNAcentral describes it as "bacterial SSU rRNA". It matches the Rfam family "Bacterial small subunit ribosomal RNA", at positions 28 to 334 of the family's 1533-position model. The record is from RNAcentral.